UCAAUAAUCAAAUUCUGCCCAAUAUGAUACAUCCAUCUUGCGACAAUUUUAUCAAUCCAAACACCAAAGUUUCUAGGCGAAAUAAAGAUAAUUCUGCUAUUUCCAGGACUCACUGGCAUACAUAUAAAGAUCAAAAGCAAUUGUCGAGGUGGCUUUUGACUUAAUUGCCCCUGAAAAUCAAUCGAAUUGAUGUAAUUAAGUACCAAAAGGAUAAAGUAUAAAUUAAAUGCAUUACCUUUGUGUUUCCUGCUGAGGUGGCAGACACGUCAUCUGGAUUUCCCCCGAUUGUUGCACUUCCAUAAAACAAACAAGGAGGAACGAAUUGCCAUUGACUAUUUUGUUGGUUUGCAGUGAAACCAUUUUUGUCUAUUUUGUUUACGUUUAUUUCAAGAGGUCUUCCCCC
RNAcentral lists this long non-coding RNA (403 nucleotides) under Lactuca sativa (garden lettuce). Its description in RNAcentral is "long non-coding RNA (LSAT_LNC001577)". The record is from RNAcentral. Lineage: Eukaryota; Viridiplantae; Streptophyta; Magnoliopsida; Asterales; Asteraceae.